AGCGGCGGACGGGUGAGUAACGCGUGGGUAACCGUACCUCAUACAGGGGGAUGACAGUUGGAAACGACUGCUAAUACCGCAUAAGCGCACAGUACCGCAUGGUACCGUGUGAAAAACUACCGGUGGUAUGAGAUGGACCCGCGUCUGAUUAGCUAGUUGGUGGGGUAACGGCCUACCAAGGCGACGAUCAGUAGCCGACCUGAGAGGGUGACCGGCCACAUUGGGACUGAGACACGGCCCAA
RNAcentral lists this ribosomal RNA (242 nucleotides) under uncultured bacterium. Its description in RNAcentral is "partial 16S ribosomal RNA". It matches the Rfam family "Bacterial small subunit ribosomal RNA", at positions 94 to 334 of the family's 1533-position model. The record is from RNAcentral.